GACGAACGCUGGCGGCGUGCUUAACACAUGCAAGUCGAACGGAAAGGCCUGCUUUCCCUUGUGGAUUGCGGGUACUCGAGUGGCGAACGGGUGAGUAACACGUGAGUGAUCUGCCCCCAACUUGGGUAUAAGCCUGGGAAACUGGGUCUAAUUCCCGAUAGGACUGCAGGGUGGUGCCUGUGGUGGAAAACGAUUUUCUAGUGGUCGGGGAUGAGCUCGCGGCCUAUCAGCUUGUUGGUGGGGUAAUGGCCUACCAAGGCGGCGACGGGUAGCCGGCCUGAGAGGGUGGACGGCCACAUUGGGACUGAGAUACGGCCCAGACUCCUACGGGAGGCAGCAGUGGGGAAUAUUGCACAAUGGGCGGAAGCCUGAUGCAGCGACGCCGCGUGGGGGAUGACGGCCUUCGGGUUGUAAACUCCUUUCGACCGCGAGGAAGCCACCUGGUUGGAAGGGUGGUGACGGUAGUGGUAGAAGAAGCACCGGCUAACUACGUG
RNAcentral lists this ribosomal RNA (494 nucleotides) under uncultured bacterium. Its description in RNAcentral is "partial 16S ribosomal RNA". It matches the Rfam family "Bacterial small subunit ribosomal RNA", at positions 28 to 507 of the family's 1533-position model. The record is from RNAcentral.